RNAcentral lists this long non-coding RNA (530 nucleotides) under Populus trichocarpa (black cottonwood). RNAcentral describes it as "long non-coding RNA (PTRI_LNC000034)". Lineage: Eukaryota; Viridiplantae; Streptophyta; Magnoliopsida; Malpighiales; Salicaceae. The record is from RNAcentral.
GCCCCAGAAGAAAGAGCAAUGCAGAAAGCGCAAACAUAACUUGAAUAAAUGGACUAAAAUUUAGAAAUAAUAAGACCAACCAAACCGUUAUUAAUUAUCACAGCAAAGGAAGAUGGCCCCAGAAGAAAGAGCUAUGCAGAAAGAGCAAAAGUAAAUGUCAUCUGUCGUACAGGUAUAGGAAUAGUCAGCCAGAAGAAUAAAUGGAAGUCACUUUUACAACAAAAGGUUGAUUUUCCAAACAUCUUUAUGUUUCAAAAACAUGAUAGCUUCCAAACCAAAGAUGGAUAGAUGAAAUAACUUAAGCAACCUGAUAACAUGUAACCUUGACCUAGAAUAAUUUCAAUCAAAGGAAGAUGGCCCCAGAAGAAAGAGCUAUGCAGAAAGAGCAAAAGUAAAUGUCAUCUGUCGUACAGGUAUAGGAAUAGUCAGCCAGAAGAAUAAAUGGAAGUCACUUUUACAACAAAAGGUUGAUUUUCCAAACAUCUUUAUGUUUCAAAAACAUGAUAGCUUCCAAACCAAAGAUGGAUAGA